AUGGAUAGGCAAGGCAUUUCAUCUCCGGUCUUACACGACAACGACGGCAUGAGCAACUACAUCACCAAAAUGCCCAUCUUCGGACUACAACGAGCAACGCGAGGCAUUGAGCGACUCACCGCCGACAUUCAUCACCUUGAAGCACGGACAAGAGACUACCUCGACACCAAGUUGGCCGAACAAAGGGAUCAAGUACGCGACAUGUUGGCCAACUACAAGUCUUCUUCCCCUUCGUCAUCUUCAAGGCGGCAACUCUCAAGUGGCCAAUCUUCGGAACGUCAUCGAGCUCAAUCACUACAACACCAUCAAGAUGAAGAUGCUCGCGAUGCGUCCACCUACAAGUCCCAAAAAGCUCUACAUCAAGCUAUGGCCAAACUUCAUGAGCACAAGAGAAGACCGCGAGACAAGCACCACCAAGACGGAGCUACGACUACUACCACCACUUCGGCAUCUUCGCCAAGUGUUAUCAAGGCAUCUUCGCCUUUGGACGUACGGCAUCUUCUCCGACGAGUACGCCUACUUCGACAUCUUUAA
RNAcentral lists this ribosomal RNA (534 nucleotides) under Triticum aestivum (bread wheat). RNAcentral's name for it is "partial small subunit ribosomal RNA". The record is from RNAcentral. Lineage: Eukaryota; Viridiplantae; Streptophyta; Magnoliopsida; Poales; Poaceae.